This 429-nucleotide ribosomal RNA is filed under the name Acidobacteriota bacterium. RNAcentral's name for it is "Acidobacteria bacterium partial 16S ribosomal RNA". It matches the Rfam family "Bacterial small subunit ribosomal RNA", at positions 355 to 776 of the family's 1533-position model. Lineage: Bacteria; Pseudomonadati; Acidobacteriota. The record is from RNAcentral.
UGGGGAAUUUUGGACAAUGGGGGAAACCCUGAUCCAGCCAUCCCGCGUGUGCGAUGAAGGCCUUCGGGUUGUAAAGCACUUUUGGCCGGAAAGAAACGUCAUGGGUUAAUACCCCGUGAAACUGACGGUACCUGCAGAAUAAGCACCGGCUAACUACGUGCCAGCAGCCGCGGUAAGACGUAGGGUGCAAGCGUUAAUCGGAAUUACUGGGCGUAAAGCGUGCGCGGGCGGUUCGGAAAGAAAGAUGUGAAAUCCCAGAGCUCAACUUUGGGAGUGCAUGUUUAACGACCGGGCGAGAGUGUGUCAGAGGGAGGUGGAAUUCCGUGUGUAGCAGAGAAAUGGGUAGAUGUGCGGAAGAACACCGAUGGAGAAGGGAGCCUCCUGGGAUAACACUGGCGCUCAUGCACGAAAGCGUGGGGAGCAAACAGG